This 377-nucleotide unclassified non-coding RNA is filed under the name uncultured bacterium. RNAcentral's name for it is "contains 16S-23S intergenic spacer region". The record is from RNAcentral.
UCCGGCUUGACGCCGGCAGUCCCCCGAGAGUCCUCAGCAUUACCUGCUAGUAACACGGGGCAAGGGUUGCGCUCGUUGCGGGACUUAACCCAACAUCUCACGACACGAGCUGACGACAGCCAUGCACCACCUGUGCACUGGUCCCGAAGGAGGGCCGUAUUUCUACGGAUUUCCAGUGCAUGUCAAGCCCUGGUAAGGUUCUUCGCGUUGCAUCGAAUUAAACCACAUGCUCCGCUGCUUGUGCGGGGCCCCGUCAAUUCCUCUGAGUUUUAACCUUGCGGCCGUACUCCCCAGGCGGUCGACUUCACGCGUUAGCUUCGUUACUGAGAGUGUCAAACCCCCAACAACCAGUCGACAUCGUUUAGGGCGUGGACUAC